RNAcentral lists this non-coding RNA (27 nucleotides) under Rattus norvegicus (Norway rat). The record is from RNAcentral. Lineage: Eukaryota; Metazoa; Chordata; Mammalia; Rodentia; Muridae.
UGAAUGGGAAAAAAAAGGAAAGGAUCA